GACGAACGCUGGCGGCGUGCCUAAUACAUGCAAGUCGGGCGAAGUUUUUCUGGUGCUUGCACUAGAAAAACUUAGCGGCGAACGGGUGAGUAACACGUAAAGAACCUGCCUCAUAGACUGGGACAACUAUUGGAAACGAUAGCUAAUACCGGAUAACAGUAUUUCUCGCAUGGGAGAUAUUUAAAAGUUGGUUAUGCUAACACUAUGAGAUGGCUUUGCGGUGCAUUAGCUAGUUGGUGGGGUAAAGGCCCACCAAGGCGACGAUGCAUAGCCGACCUGAGAGGGUGAUCGGCCACACUGGGACUGAGACACGGCCCAGACUCCUACGGGAGGCAGCAGUAGGGAAUCUUCCGCAAUGGGCGAAAGCCUGACGGAGCAACGCCGCGUGAGUGAAGAAGGAUUUCGGUUCGUAAAGCUCUGUUGUUAGGGAAGAAUGGAUAUGUAGUAACUAUACAUGUAAGAGACGGUACCUAACCAGAAAGCCACGGCUAACUACGUG
This 499-nucleotide ribosomal RNA is filed under the name uncultured bacterium. RNAcentral describes it as "partial 16S ribosomal RNA". It matches the Rfam family "Bacterial small subunit ribosomal RNA", at positions 28 to 507 of the family's 1533-position model. The record is from RNAcentral.